UACCAUUGAUUGCUAUUUUGUUAACCUAUUUUAUGGUUAUCCUUACAAGAAAGAAGUUAAUUGAGAAUUAAACUUGUUUCUAUAAGACUACGUAAUCUAAAAGCACUAUGUUGUUUCGGAUUAGCAAUUGAAUUAUGAGAUGAGAACAUAUAGAGUUGGAUUGUGAUUGUUAAAUUUUCAUGUAUUAUUUUUUGUGGAGAAAACAUUAUCCAAAAUCUUGUAGAUAUGAAAUUAAUUAAUUAGGUAAAAUGGAUAUUGGGAGUAAUUGUGUUUGACUAGGCAAGGAGUUAACUUAAAUUAUUAUAAUCGGUUGGUUACGUUUUAUUUUAUUGCGAUAUAUUUAGAGUAGAGUAAAAACUCUUCCAAGCGCACACCAAUUGUGUCUAAUUAUUGAAAGUAACCAUUUAGAAAUCUAAGAUAGGGACGCUAUAACGUUACACUUCCUGAACGUUGCUGCUACCAACUUUUUUCACCGAAAACAAAUAUUGGUUAGAUUUUUUGAAUUAAUAGGAUAGACCUUUGAUUCAGGCAUUUUAGAAUCAGAAAAUGGUAAAUGUAACUAUAUGUACGGUAUUGCUACUUCAUGUUUUGGUUGUCGCUUCUCUACAAAUUAAACGUCAAGACAAUGGAGAUGAAGUAAUAAAUGGUGAAAAAUGUGCUAAUCAACGUACAUAUGUUUUUGUUGCAAGUCAAACAAAACCUGUACGUUGUGUUAGCAACAUGAAAGAAGCGGGAUGUGACUGGGAGCUUAAGAGUAAAUCAUUAACUUUCGGAUUUGUUCCAAAUGAAACAAUCAAAGCUACAACAUGUCAUAUCAGACUAAUGGAAAAGACGCAUUUUCCAGACGGACAGUUAUGUAGAAAUCAUUCAGAUGAAAAAAUAGAAGUUCAAAAUACGAACGCAUAUUUAAACACAUCAAUUGGGGUUCCAAUAUUGGCGAACAUAUCAAACGCACUUUGACUUAUCAAUUUGAUUAUGGUAACAAAUUUGUAACAAUAGGUUUCGCUUAUCACUGGGAUGGAAUGUUAAUCAAAAUAUUUAUAAAUUGUUUGGAUGAGAAUGGAGAGAAUAUAUCAGGGUCUGCUGGAACAAGAUGUGUGGUUAUUAAUAAUGAAGGAACUGCAACAUAUCAUCUAAAAGGUGAUGAAUAUUUCCCUCCUUCCACCACAAUCACAACAAGAAGCCCUGGGGGCUCCAAGAAUUUCCGCGCGCUACCAAAAUAUUUGAUGAAAACCUGCUAAUUCGUUGUGUUAUUGUGCCAAACAUUCAAAGGGGUUCGGUGCAUGAACCUCUGAAGAUAAAGCACACCACUGACAUUAUAUCUUACAACAAACGCAAACAAAUCGAAACGUGUCAUUAAACUCACAUUUUAAAAGAAGCUAACAAAAAAUACAGCCUAUCAUUCAUGGUUGAAAGUCUUGCGAUUGAAACGUUUAUGGUCUUAAACGGCAUUAGUUGACAAAAAAUCAAAAUUUUGAUGUGACCAUCAUUUUCAGCAUACUUUUUUUAUUAACUGUGUCAAUUUUUGUCGAAAAUAAAGCAGUUUUAAUUUUUGGAUAAAUUUUGGCCUGAAAUGACAUUUAGGUGCCAAAAAUUAAACUUUUGUACCAUCAUCAUUUUCAGCAUACUUUAUUUGUUAACUGUGCCAGAUUUAGCCGAAAAUGAAGUGGUUUUAAUUUUUGGACCAAUUUUGGCCUAAAAUAGCAUUUAGGUGACAAAAAUCAAAAUUUUGAUGUCACCAUUAUGUUCAGCAUACUUAUUUUGUUAACUUUGCCAAUUUUUGUUUAAAAUAAAGUAGUUUUAAUUUUUGGACCAAUUUUGGCCUAAAAUGACAUUUAGGUGACAAAAAUCAAAAUUAUUAUGUCACCAUUAUGUUCAGCAUACUCUUUUUGUUAACUGUGUUAAAUUUUGUCGAAAACAAAUACCAAUUUUGGCCUGAAACGUCAAUACGAGACUUCCCAGUAGUUAAGGGGCUUGGGUACGAAGUUUACAUCUGUGACUGAGCAAAGUGAAAUCCCAUGGUCGAUUUUUUCUCAAAAAAUGCUCCGAAAGAAAAAAACGACGGUUUUAAAGAAUUUCCUACGCCUUCGGGCGCGGAAAUUCAACAAGUACACAAACCACUUCAACAACAACCAAUGAUUUCACGACAACUACAAAAGUAACAGAUCAAUUAACUGAAAGUACAUUUCCUCCUGCAUGGACAACCACGAGUGCAAACACACAACCCGUGUAUCAGUGUAGUAUUGAGACUAAAAAUGUUUUAAUUGCUUUGUUGAGUGGUUUUGGUGGAUGUCUUAUAUGUUUAUGUCUUGUUAUUUUGAUUGGAAAGAAGAGAAAUUUUCUGAUGUAAGUUUUAAACAAAAUAAUUUUCUGUUGAUUUUUA
Molecule: RNA transcript, 2383 nt
Organism: Hydractinia symbiolongicarpus
Lineage: Eukaryota; Metazoa; Cnidaria; Hydrozoa; Anthoathecata; Hydractiniidae
Exons: 5
Source: RefSeq, a predicted model, not a curated record